This 253-nucleotide ribosomal RNA is filed under the name uncultured bacterium. RNAcentral describes it as "partial 16S ribosomal RNA". It matches the Rfam family "Bacterial small subunit ribosomal RNA", at positions 524 to 776 of the family's 1533-position model. The record is from RNAcentral.
UACGGAGGGUGCGAGCGUUGUCCGGAAUCACUGGGCGUAAAGGGCGCGUAGGUGGCGCGGCAAGUCAACGAUGAAAGCUCGACGCUCAACGUCGAGUCGGCCGUCGAUACUGCCGCGCUGGAGCACUGUAGAGGCUCAUGGAAUUCCGGGUGUAGCGGUGGAAUGCGUAGAGAUCCGGAAGAACACCGGUGGCGAAGGCGGUGAGCUGGGCAGUUGCUGACACUGAGGCGCGACAGCGUGGGGAGCAAACAGG